CCUACGGGUGGCAGCAGUGGGGAAUAUUGGGCCAUGGGCGCAAGCCUGACCCAGCAACGCCGCGUGAAGGAAGAAGGCUCUCGGGUUGUUAACCUCUUUUGUUCGGGACGCAGCAAGUGACGGUACUUGACGAAUAAGCCUCAGCUAACUACGAGCCAGCAGCCACUGUAAUCCGUAGGUCGCAAGCGGUAUCCGGAUUUAUUGGGUGUAAAGGGCGUUUAGGCGGGAAUGCAAGUCAGAUGUGAAAACUAUGGGCUCAACCCAUAGCCUGCAUUGGACACUGUAGUUCUUGAGUGCUGGAGAGGCAAUCGGAAUUCGGGGUGUAGCGGUGAAAUGCGUAGAUAUACGGAGGAACACCAGUGGCGAAGGCGGAUUGCUGGACAGUAACUGACGCUGAGGCGCGAAAGCGUGGGGAGCGAACAGGAUUAGAUACCCGAGUAGUC
RNAcentral lists this ribosomal RNA (443 nucleotides) under uncultured bacterium. Its description in RNAcentral is "partial 16S ribosomal RNA". It matches the Rfam family "Bacterial small subunit ribosomal RNA", at positions 338 to 795 of the family's 1533-position model. The record is from RNAcentral.